AUGCACAUUAUUCUGGAGCCACCUAUGUUUUUGUUAAGCUCCCUGGAGCUGUGUGUCAGCUCGGGUAAUAGGUACAAGGUUUUCGGCUCCGGGACUCAACUCAUAGUGACCAAUACAGAAUCGAAGCCUCCUACGGUGACUACGUACAUUCCUUCAAAACCUCACGAAAAUAAGGCCUCCUUGCUGUGCGUGGCCACAGACAUGUAUCCAAAUGUGGUCAAAUUCAUAUGGGAGAAAAAGGACGGAAACGACUGGAAAAAUGUGCCAUCAAAUGAAAUGAGGACCCUGCAGCAGGAGGAGGAAAGUAGGGUCUCCAGCAUCAUGAUCAUCGACAAUGAGAAGGCCGAGCGGGAUACCUACUCCUGUAAGGUGCAACACGAGAAGGAUCCUAAUCCCAGCAGAGGAAAAAGAGUGCCAAAAAAAAGUGAUCUCAUUACCCCCAAUGACCCCAAUGUCCCCAAACCUUCCUGUGUGCCCAAGCUGAGUACACCUCCGAGCAACACAUCAGAUGGUGAGCAUGCAUUGCCUUUAUGGCCAGAGAUUUGACUGAACUACACUAAAUCUGCAUUUAAGAAUGUACUCUGACCAGUACAUGAUAUUAAUAUGAAUAUCCAUAGCUUAUGAUUUCAUAGAAAAUCACUAGAAGACCAAACGGCACUUUGAGUCGGCUGGAUUACUGUGCUCUGUUAAAAAAGAAGGACUCCCAGAACAGCGUAUUUAUAAUGAUUUCAAUGUCAAAUACACUUUAUUAAAAUGUAAUACGUAUGAUUUUUUAAAAUUGUUUUAAAUGAAAAUGAAAAGGCCUGCAUUUAAGGGCUUUCUUUUCCAUCUGGGCUCGCAGAGAUCCGUUCCUUCAAGAACCCGAAUGAGCUGACCAACCUGAACAUGGUGACAUUCUCCUACUCCGUGAUGAUCCUCAAGAGCAUGAUGUACUUCGGCGUGGUGUCCAUGAUCAUGUACAAGAGGUCGGGCAGGUCGCUCUGCUGAAGAAAGGAGCCCGGCUCUUCACUCAUCAUCUCCUCGCACCUUAUUGUCAACGCAGGAGAACAGCACAUGCAUGGAGAACAUGUAAUAGCGAACACAGUGUUUUAUAGUAGCUCAUAAUUCUAAACCUCUGAUUGUACUUAUAGAUUUUUACAUUUUUUAUUGUUGCUAAAAGUAAACUGAGUGUUUUCAUGUCUGUGAAGUGAUAUACUGUACGUUUCACGAAAGUAUAUAAUUAUUAUUAUAACUGUAUAAUUCUUAUAAUUAUAUCAGCAGUUCUUAUAAUUAAGACAGUCAUCGUUAUAAUGAACACUGAUUUUUGUUUCCUUCGACUCUCACCGUUUUUGUACAUGAAUUCAUAUUAAUAUGAUAUUACGGCUGUAAUAAGGAGAAAAUUUCCAGAAGAAAAUAUUGUUUGGAUUUCUAUAGCGCUGUGAUUUAAUUGUCCUUUGUUGUUUGUACAUUAUUAUACCUGUCGUGUACCUUUCAGACUCCAUCAGUGGAAAUGUCUGUUUUAAAAGAAAUUAAAAGCGGUGGUUGCAAAACAGUGUAUUGAUGUGCU
Molecule: long non-coding RNA, 1546 nt
Filed under: Scleropages formosus (Asian bonytongue)
Lineage: Eukaryota; Metazoa; Chordata; Actinopteri; Osteoglossiformes; Osteoglossidae
Description: lncRNA (ENSSFOG00015020316.2)
Source: RNAcentral